UUGCCAGUUUGGUCUUUUACGACCAAAUUUGGUCAUUAUUUUCUUACUUGGUUGCAUGGUCAUUUUUUUUUCCAUUUGUUCCUUUUUUCUAAGAAAUUGAAAAAAAAAAUAACUUGACUCUAUUUCUUUCAUAUUUUCAAAAAUGAAAGCAUACCUUAAUUGCUUUUCAUCUAAUAUAAACGGUGCAUAAUUGAACGCACCCCAUAAAAAAUACAUGAAACACGAUCAUUGAAUGCACACACUGAAUGCAUUCAUUUCACAAUUUAUUGACAGAUUUUUUUCAACAUUUUAAAAUCGCAUACCUAAACAAACCUGUAAGCUGUAAAGUACUUUGUGUGCAGCUCUUUCUCGUUUUUUCCAACAAAUAAGUAAUGGAUAGGUUUGUUAUUAAAAAGCCAAGGACUGAGUCGGCAGUAGAAAGUUCCACAAAUGCAGAUGAGCCGUCAUCUUCAAGCAAUUGUGAUCAAAAUGUGGACCAAAAAAAACACGAAGCGGAGAGAAAAUUUAGACAGGAAUGGCUACAAAAAUUCAAUUGGCUUAACCAUAAAGCUGACAAAAGCUUUUGUGCUGCUUGUGACAAAAUUUUAACCAACCA
This is a long non-coding RNA of Eupeodes corollae, 595 nucleotides long. RefSeq lists it as uncharacterized. NCBI's taxonomy places the organism in Eukaryota, Metazoa, Arthropoda, Insecta, Diptera, Syrphidae. The record is from RefSeq and is a predicted model, not a curated record. The transcript is spliced from 3 exons.